GGUGCUACAUUAAGAAAUUAAUAGAGAGAAAAAGCAAUCAAAUAACUUUAUUUACCUGUCUGAGAAAUGAUUAACAAACAAAGACACUGACUGUAUACCUCCAUAUGUGAAGCUCAAUAAGAUGAAUAACUGAAGCUGGCGAGGCGAGAACAAAAUCUAUUAUACCUCGCUGCUUAACCAGGACAACCAUAUGGAAAGAUGCAUACAACUGCUUUAACAUUGACGCAACAGCAAAAGGAGACGUGUAAUUGAACUUCAACAGGACAACUUGAGAUGAUUAACUGGCAAGAGGCACAUAAAGCUGCUAAAUGAAGUGUUACUCGGCAAGGAAGUAUGAUUCACUGAUAUAACUUUUCUAACUCAUUCUUGUAUCGAGCCUUCAGAGGUUCCCGUUUCAAUUUCAGAGCAGCAGUUACCAAUCCAGACUCAGGAGUCCAAGACUCUGGUAUUAACUUGAUCUUGGCAGGAAGCUCAAACUUGUCCAAUCUAGCAGCUUUUGCUACCUUUGAAAGUGAUUGCUUGAUCUCAUUGACUGAUUCUACUUUGUCACACAGUUCGGAAAAAUCUUUGUGCUGGAUGCCAUUUUCUUGGGCCCAUUUCUCAAGCACCGGGCGUGAAGGGACAACUAAAGCUACACAAUAAUUAUGGAAGGGGUCUGCGUACACCAUGAUGCUCUCCACGUAAUUGCUUGAUAGAAGUGCUGCCUCAACCUUUCCAAGUGAGAUAUACUCCCCGUGCUGAAGCUUAACAAUAUCCUUCUUUCUAUCAAUAAUUUCAAUGCACCCAUCAGGAUGAAACCUUCCAAUGUCACCAGUGUAGAACCAGCGCAUGCCUGUCUCAUCAACCUUAUAAACCUCAUUAGUUUUUUCCUCAUUGUUGAAGUAACCAGCAGUUAUGCUGCAUCCACCAACAACUACUUCUCCCCGAGGCAUAGGCUUAUCAACUAUUCUGUAACCUCCUUCUUCCCAAGUAAUAAGCUUUAUGUAGCAACAAGGAAGAGGUGGACCAACACGCCCGACAGAAGGAUCAUCCCACUCAGAAAAAGCAGCUCCAGCAAAUGUCUCUG
RNAcentral lists this unclassified non-coding RNA (1066 nucleotides) under Hevea brasiliensis (rubber tree). Lineage: Eukaryota; Viridiplantae; Streptophyta; Magnoliopsida; Malpighiales; Euphorbiaceae. The record is from RNAcentral.